RNAcentral lists this ribosomal RNA (429 nucleotides) under Acidobacteriota bacterium. Its description in RNAcentral is "Acidobacteria bacterium partial 16S ribosomal RNA". It matches the Rfam family "Bacterial small subunit ribosomal RNA", at positions 355 to 776 of the family's 1533-position model. Lineage: Bacteria; Pseudomonadati; Acidobacteriota. The record is from RNAcentral.
UGGGGAAUUUUGGACAAUGGGGGAAACCCUGAUCCAGCCAUCCCGCGUGUGCGAUGAAGGCCUUCGGGUUGUAAAGCACUUUUGGCAGGAAAGAAACGUCAUGGGUUAAUACCCCGUGAAACUGACGGUACCUGCAGAAUAAGCACCGGCUAACUACGUGCCAGCAGCCGCGGUAAUACGUAGGGUGCAAGCGUUAAUCGGAAUUACUGGGCGUAAAGCGUGCGCAGGCGGUUCGGAAAGAAAGAUGUGAAAUCCCAGAGCUCAACUUUGGAACUGCAUUUUUAACUACCGGCCUAGAGUGUGUCAGAGGGAGGUGGAAUUCCGCCUGUAGCAGUGAAAUGCGUAGAUAUGCGGAGGAACACCGAUGGCGAAGGCAGCCUCCUAGGAUAACACUGACGCUCAUGCACGAAAGCGUGGGGAGCAAACAGG